CCCUCAAUCCAAUGGCCCAUAACCCGCCCCAAUUUUACAUAAUAAUGUCCGAAUAUUUCCAAACCCUAAGAGACAAACCCCUCCUUCCUUGUAUCUCUCUGUAACACCGUCGUAGCCGCCGCCGCCGGCGAACGUUACCUACUCCAAAUGACCCCAAAUUAACACCUCGUGAUCCUCUCCUCUCCCUCAUCUCAAACCUACAAACAGCUUCCUUCAAACCCCAGCCUAGCUAUUCGAAUGUCCCGUUUAAGUUUUCCUGCCACGAUGCUACUUCGUCCAAAUUCUGCCAAAUCAACACCAUAGAUUCUCCUCACCACCCUCAUCCCAAAGCACCGAUUGGUUUCCUUCGAACCUCACUACGUACAAUGCCUCGAAUUUGAAUUUUAAGUUUUUCGGCCAAACCCUUAAUUGGCCCAGGACGUUCAAAUCCGCACAAUAAGGUCUCCAGGCCUCCCUCAUGAGGAAUUCAUCAUCAAUAGGGCCCAGAUGUCACUAGAAAUGGCCAAGUUGAAGUUUAGAGUUCAGCCGGAUUUCGAGCUAUGGCAACGAGGUUUUGUUUGAUUUCAAUUCCACGUCUUAUUGUUGCUUAAUUAGAUUGCAAUUUACCUUGUCGUCUUAGUUUAGUUUAUUACCAGCAUAAUUUUUUUGGGAUAAUUACAUUACGCUUAAAGCUAGCUUGGGAAUUUAUUAAAUUUGUUAGAUAAAUUUGGAUGUUAUUUUGACCGAUUUCCAUUAGUUCACUGAUUUGUAAUUCAUUAUUUCAUUAGCUGAAUGCUUUAGAGAUUGUUAGUUAGCUAGAUAACCAUAGUUAGAAUUGUGCAGGGUUAGACUAACUUAGUAGUUUCAAAUAAGUUCAGGGGUAUUUCGGGUAAUCAGUAAGGUGCAGAAGUGUUGUAGAUCACACUUGAAAAUCCUAGAACCUUCUAGAUAGGGGUAUACUUAGAGUUUUAUGAAAUGGGAGGCCCUAAUUUGUGUAACAAGGCAAAAAGAGUAGGGGUUUAAAUAGAAAUAAAGUGGGGGACUGCUUGGCAAUUAAAAGUUUGAGACCCCCUUUGUUGUGCCUAUAAAAGGGAAACCAAAUGGCUUGUGUGGGGGAUCUUCUUUUCAGCGAUAAAAAUAAUAAUUCUCUAAAAAACAGCCUUUAUUUUCCAAUUUUGGAUCCAGCUUUAAAAUUUCAAAGUUUAGAAAUCCAAAAACAGAGGAAAACAAACAAAAAUCUUAAAAAAAAUAAAUCAAAAUGCAUUGUUACAUUAGACCUUAGGCAGAAUCGUCCAGUUAUGUUCUCUUCUGGUUGUUAAAGGAUCUUCUGAAGCUGUACUGUUGUUUUCAUCGGUUGGUUAUGGUUUAAUCAAGCUGGUUUUGAGUUGAUUUGGUAGGCUAGAGUUAUCUGCUGAGUUCAGUGUGAUUAAAUUUUGGUGUUGUGGUUGGAUUUGUGAUUUCUGUGUGGAUUUUCAAAGUACACUUGAAUUCCUGGACUUAAUCUGGACUGCUUGUGAAUUUCUCUAUCGCAUUUCUGCAGGUAAUCUCAGUUUCUGCCUCCUAUUUCAUUUUCCAGGUACACACCUUGACUUUGAUAGCUAUGAGAUGAAGCGUGAAGUGUAAACUUGUAGUUGAAGCAUGAAAUGCAAUUUGAUUCAGUUUGGAACUAUGUGUUUGAAUAUGUAGUCUGGUAAUGAUAGUUAAGUUUACAUUUGAAUUUAAUCUAGCUGGAUAGGAACUAGUAAUGUAAUAACAAACUGAAACCAUUUUUAUAUUGUUUCGGCCAACAGUCAUUCUGUUACAAAUGCUCGUGAAUUGUUUUUUUUUUGAGUUUUGAGUGUUAAUCAGGUUGAGGUUCAGCUCGUUCUUAUUAGAUUGUGUUCAUAAAUAGGUCUUAAAGGUAGCUCAAUGAUGAGGCCAGUCUUAAGUAGUUAGAUUUCAGUAUGGUAUGUAAUCAAGUGAAAUUGUUAAUUAGGAUUCUGGUUGAUCGUGAUUGGAAACGGAAUUUGAAUCAAAAUCGUUAUAGUUUGUUUUAGGAAUACUGUAAUUCAAACCUUUGUUUUAAUUUCCAGCAUCAGCGUUAUUUGGAAAGUAAAGUUCAACAGGUCAAUAUCUAUUUGAUUUGGGCUAAUUACGUUUGAAUUGCCCGUUAGUUUGUUGUUCUCCAGGCUCGAUCCUCUACCUAUUCUAUCUUAUUGAGUUCGCCUGGUUUGGGCUAAUUCCAGGCCCAAUGACCAUGGCUAUAUGAUACCUAGUCCAAAGGACAUGACGCCUCCUGGGCUCUUUGGGCCCAAAGCUAGAAUUUCUUUCUUAAUUUUCCGUUUGAAUGCAGGCCUGGAGUUUAUAAAACUACUUAAUUAGGAUUUUUCUUUUUUACUUUAGAGACAAAAUUUAAUAGAUAAUGGUAGUUUCUUUUAGGUCGGCUUUUAAAAUAAAAAUGAGACGAGCCUCACCAAAAAUUACGGGGCCCUCAAUAAAUGAUAUAUGAAAACACUUAGAAU
RNAcentral lists this long non-coding RNA (2480 nucleotides) under Nicotiana benthamiana. RNAcentral describes it as "long non-coding RNA (NBEN_LNC033918)". The record is from RNAcentral. Lineage: Eukaryota; Viridiplantae; Streptophyta; Magnoliopsida; Solanales; Solanaceae.